Molecule: long non-coding RNA, 623 nt
Organism: Camponotus floridanus (Florida carpenter ant)
Lineage: Eukaryota; Metazoa; Arthropoda; Insecta; Hymenoptera; Formicidae
Exons: 4
Source: RefSeq, a predicted model, not a curated record
UGGCCCCUUCCAGCGUGCACAUCGUUCGCGGCGAGAGACGCGGAAAAAGAGAUACGGGUAAAUGUGCGGCUACGGAAGAUCAAGGAGAGAAGGAGAAGGAUGUUGGGGAAUCUCUCGACAGGUUGCCCCGUGUACCUGAGGUAUAAGGGACAUGACAGGGUAGAAGUUCUCGGAUGCAUCGCGUUUGCUGUAGGAAAGUUGAUCGUCAGGGACGGAUUUUGAGUUUACAAAAGUUGUAUCAUUUCAAGGGGGACAUAAGAUGGUGCCAUUAGUUUGACCUUGAAGAGUCAUCUGAAGAUCACGUGAAGCCAGUAAGUCGAUUGGGUACAGCUGGAGCACUCCGCACGCAACAAAUAGAUUUUGCGUAUAUCUCAUACCUCACGAUGUUGCUAUCUUCGUCCGUCGAAUCGCUGUUCCGUAUUUAAAGAGCACAGGUCAAGUACCCGCGCCAAAUAUUCAACAGACAUCAUACGAUGACAUCCAAUUGAUAGUCACUGACAAUCACUGAAUAAAAGAAUUUGAAAUACCCGGUGGGUGGACCAGUUCUCCGUCUUCGAAGAUCUGUGCACAACUGUCAUGUCCUUUCACGAUAAAUGUAUCGUUUCUUACAAGUUUUACAAAGA